Molecule: long non-coding RNA, 1596 nt
Organism: Ictalurus punctatus (channel catfish)
Lineage: Eukaryota; Metazoa; Chordata; Actinopteri; Siluriformes; Ictaluridae
Source: Ensembl
CCGAGUGUAUUUUUACUGUGAAUCAUAUCGAUGUGUAUUGGAGCAAAGAGAUAAAGCUGCUAAAGAGCGAAUAUGACAGAAAAGGUGCGAGAGAGCUGUAGGAGGAGUCAAAAAUAGAACAGAGAGGCAGAGAUGAACACAAACCCUGGAAUAACUACAAAGCCAUCAUUCAUGAGUGAGAAUUACACACUAAUAACAGUCAUAGUCACGUGUAGCUGAUUACACGAGGGGUAACGGUAAUCGAGCGUCACGUGUACCCGAUUACACGAGGGUAACGGUAAUAGAGCGUCACGUGUACCCGAUUACACGAGGGUAACGGUAAUAGAGCGUCACGUGUACCCGAUUACACGAGGGUAACGGUUAAUAGAGUGUCACGUGUACCCGAUUACACGAGGGGUAACGGUAAUAGAGCGUCACGUGUACCCGAUUACACGCCGGUAACGGUAAUCGAGCGACACGUGUAUCUUGAUUCCACGCCCGUAACAAUAAUCGAGCGUCACGUGUAUCUUGAUUCCACGCCCGUAACAAUAAUCGAGCGUCACGUGUACCCGAUUACACGCCGGGUAACGGUAAUCGAGCGACACGUGUAUCUUGAUUGCACUGCGGUAACGGUAAUCUCGCGACACGUGUAUCUUGAUUGCACUGCGGUAACGGUAAUCUCGCGACACGUGUAUCUUGAUUGCACUGCGGUAGCGGUAAAGGAGCGACACGCGUAUCCGAUUUAUCAGAUGAGUACGGUAAGAUUCAAAGAAUAAAAUGAAACUUAUAAUACGUUAUAAUUAUCAGAAUACGUUAAAUAAAUUUGUUAAAUAAAUACCAAUUUUAAGUCAUAUAAAUCUUCAAAUCUUCAAAUUGAAUCUAUAUUUCUAUAGGCUGUAAUACAGUACAUUAUGUAUUGCACGCUAAACAUGUGUUUCUCUUUAGUCACAGGAAACCAGGAACUGCUACAUGACUCCACUACGUGAUGGACAUCUUCUGACAUGAUGACUUUAGAUCACCGCUUGCUCUGACCGGUUUGUAGCAGUGUAACUGUAGGCGUGUCCUCGUGACUAAUGUGUCUGAUGUAUCUGAUGUAUAAGGGUACACUCGGAGGGAUCGGAGAUCACGCGCAUUCAGAAGUCGUUUUCAUCCUCGCCCUUCACGCACCGAGAUUCGACUGGAUUCCUUAAAUCUUUUCAUUAUAUUGUGCGCUGUAGAAGCUGCUCAAAAUCCUACCGAGUUGCCUUUUGGGAAUGUUCUCCAAGUGUUGGCGUGAUCGUCGAGCCUCGACCCGUCCUAGCUCUUGAAGGCCUAGGCCUUUUUUUUUUUGGAUGCUCCUUAUAUACUAUGAUUAGACGAUUGCCUCACUUAUUUCACGUCAACUUCUUAUUUCAACUUGUCACAUCGCUAUUCUUAAAUUGCCCCUGUCCCAAACUGAAAAUGUAUUUGCCCCCGUAGUCACUAAUCCCCCAAGUCUAUGAAAAUGCAUUCGUAGACGAGACGUAACCAGGCCUGAUUACAGAGUGAGAGAAAAAUGAUGUCGAAGAUCUCAAAGAAGAAUAACUUGAUUAAAGUGAACCCCGAACAGUAUCGCAGACGAGCGUGGCAGUGAAGCAU